Non-coding RNA from Phalacrocorax carbo (great cormorant), 1991 nucleotides. The record is from RefSeq and is a predicted model, not a curated record. NCBI's taxonomy places the organism in Eukaryota, Metazoa, Chordata, Aves, Suliformes, Phalacrocoracidae.
UGUGUGUGAGCGUCUGCAGUCUUGGAUCUGGGUACGGGUUUAGCUGCAAUGCAGCUAGAAGUCAACAUUAAAGAGAGCUCCAGUUCAGAAAACACAAUUUACAUUUAUAAUCUUUGGUACAGUAAGGAUUGAAACAACUGUCAUCCUUACCACGUGCAUCAAAUUGGUCUCAUUGAUUCUACUUUGAGAGCUCAUGGAGGAAGACCCUGACAACUCAGCCAGGAAUGUCUGCCACAUCUCCAGAAGUCAUGUACAUCCUGCAGUUCCAGGUUUUGCACACUAGGGAAUAAGAAACGCUAAGGGACACUGUGAAAAAGGAGGACUUCAGAAUAAAGCGGGGAAGACAUUCUGGUAAGGCCUACUUUGGAAGAACACCUGGCCUAUGACCUGGCGAACCUAGGUGACUCCCCUCCCCCCUUCCUCCAGUCAUCACUGCAAGAAAGAUGGAGCUCUGAUGGUUUACUAAAACCUAUGCAAGAAAUGAGAGAGGUAUAUUGCCUAGAGGUAUACUACCUAGAGAAGUGUACAAGAGUAGAGUUAAAGUUGGUCAUUUCUUUUUUCUUUUUUUUGUUUUUAAUUUAAAAUAAAGCUUUUUUUCCCCCACAAACUAAAAAGGUAAAUUUAAUAUUUAUUUACUUGUAGCAAUCAGUAUAAUAUUUAAGGAGUAUAUAAUUUUUUUUAAUGCAGAAAAGACUUGCUAGAAGUAUGUAUUCUGAAUAGCUCCUGUUGUGAACUAUUAUCUGAAGAUCAAUUUUAAAGAAAUUAUUUUCUCUUAAAGUAAUAAAAUAAUAGAAAAGAAUGCAUGAAUAUUAUUUUAAAUUAUUGUAAAAUAUAAUAUAUCACCUUUGGUAGAACUGUACUUAGAUUUUAUAUGCAGCUGAAACUUCUUUGAAAGUGACCUAUAUAUGCUCAUGAAAACUGGGAGGGAAACCAUAGGAUAUCUAUGACUACUCCAUGCCCGGCUUCUGCCAUGUAGAAUACAAAAUAUUUGAUUGUCAGGAAAAAUUACCUCUGAGAGUUGAGGAUGUGAUGGAAAAAAAACCAAUAAAUAAAUAAAGCAGAACAAACAGCUUUCCAUCCCGAUACUUGGCUGGCCAUUGCCUGUAAGUGUUCAGCAUCGAUUGAUUGAUGCCGCUCUCAAGUAUACUUUGAAUCGUUGAUAUUUCUUCUAACAUUCAAAAUAAGUUACUUUGUCCUGAAUCCCACUGAUAAAAAUGGAAUUUGUAAACGAAUGCAGAAGUUUGCUUUGGUGAAUUUCCAGCUGUCCUGGUAGGGGAAAAACAACCCUCAGGCUGAAUGAAAUCCCCACGGACAAAAUAAUACAAAAAGUCUGGGCUGCAAUUUGAUACCAGCUGAACUCCAGAGUCAGCUCCCCUAAAGUUAACACUAGUAACAAACUACUGCAACUGGAAAAAAAAUCCCAUCUAUAUGGUGUUCAUUAUUGCCAGGAAGGCUUUGAAUAGCUAUACUAUAAAAACAAUUAGCAUAAAUAUGCAGCCAUUAGUAUUAUAACCAGCCACUUUUGCAGAAUGCAUAUUAUGUUUUAGUCAGCCAUGAUACUAUAUGAUUUAAAUAUUUUUAUUAUUAUUAUUACCUUUUUCAUUGCUCCUUCAAUAAUCAGUUGAAGUCCUACUGGGGACAGAUGGUCGCAUAGCAUUAGCGUGACUGUGCCUAUACCUGCUCUCUUAAAGCCCACAAAGCAAGAAGGAUCAGUGUCAUUUCCCUUAGCCUCCCAUCAAAGCUUACAUAUUUUGACUAAAAUAAUUCUUUUUUAAUGUAUAUAUACACUUGUAGGUUAUCCACUGUCUCUUCCUUUAUUUCACGGAAGAUUAUCUUUAGGACUAAAUUAGUGGGGUUUAAUCCAUUCUUGUAUGAGUAGACAGAAUAUUUAGUCUUGUUCUACUUUAAAGUGGAGUUGCAACACACAGUUAAAUGUAGUUAUUAAUAGAAAAUCUGAAAAGACAGGAAGAAAUUAAAGGAAUGGAUCCAGA